Molecule: transfer RNA, 65 nt
Filed under: Typhoptera quadrituberculata
Lineage: Eukaryota; Metazoa; Arthropoda; Insecta; Orthoptera; Tettigoniidae
Description: tRNA-Glu
Rfam family: tRNA
About the family: Transfer RNA (tRNA) molecules are approximately 80 nucleotides in length. Their secondary structure includes four short double-helical elements and three loops (D, anti-codon, and T loops).
Source: RNAcentral
AUUUAUAUAGUUUAAUAAAACAUUACAUUUUCAUUGUAAAAAUAGUAAUCAAAUACUUAUAAAUU